CCUACGGGUGGCAGCCGUGAGGAAUCUUGGUCAAUGGGCGCGAGCCUGAACCAGCCAAGUAGCGUGAAGGAUGACUGCCCUACGGGUUGUAAACUUCUUUUAUAAAGGAAUAAAGUGAGGAAAGUGUGCCUUUUUGUAUGUACUUUAUGAAUAAGGAUCGGAUAACUCAGUGCCCGCCGCCGCGGUAAUACGGAGGAUCCGAGCGUUAGCCGGAUUUGUUGGGUUUAAAGGGAGCGUAGAUGGGUUGUUAAGUCAGUUGUGAAAGUUUGCGGCUUAACCGUAAAAUUGCAAUGGAUACUGGCAGUCGUGAGUACAGUUGAGGUAGGCGGAAUUCGUGGUGUAGCGGUGAAAUGCUUAGAUAUCACGAAGAACUCCGAUUGCGAAGGCAGCUUACUAAACUGCCACUGACAUGGAUGCUCGAAAGUGUGGGUAUCAAACAGGAUUAGAUACCCUUGUAGUC
Molecule: ribosomal RNA, 460 nt
Filed under: uncultured bacterium
Lineage: Bacteria
Description: partial 16S ribosomal RNA
Rfam family: Bacterial small subunit ribosomal RNA
Source: RNAcentral